GGGAAAACAGUGUGCGGAGAGGGCAAUGCAACUUUCACGGGUUGUGAGAAGUUUGUGGGCUGGAAAGGUUAUCAAUGCAGUCUCCGCCUCAACAAGACACCUGGGACUAACCUGAGUGCCUGGAUCCCUGUCACAGCAGCUGAGCACGUGGGUCGCUGCAUUCUUGAGGAACAAACCACUGCUAGUGUAUGAAAAGCAUUUUAAGCAUGCAGAACUCUCAAAGAAAAAAAAAUGCUUAGUGUUUAUACAAGAAGCCUUCCAGAAGUUAUGGAAAGGAGGAAGUACCUAGCCCCGGACUUAUCGCAUACCUGGUAGUUACACAUAUUUGCGGAAUACAUAGCAAUUUACAUCAUCCAAAUCUUCUUCUGUCUGGUCUCCCACAGACCCUGAGAAUUGUUAUUUCUAAAAAAAAAAAAAA
Molecule: long non-coding RNA, 418 nt
Organism: Suricata suricatta (meerkat)
Lineage: Eukaryota; Metazoa; Chordata; Mammalia; Carnivora; Herpestidae
Exons: 2
Source: RefSeq, a predicted model, not a curated record